UACAAAGGGCUGCGAGACCGCGAGGUUAAGCGAAUCCCAUAAAACCAUUCUCAGUUCGGAUUGCAGGCUGCAACUCGCCUGCAUGAAGCCGGAAUCGCUAGUAAUCGCGGAUCAGCAUGCCGCGGUGAAUACGUUCCCGGGCCUUGUACACACCGCCCGUCACACCACGAGAGUUUGUAACACCCGAAGUCGGUGGGGUAACCUUUUGGAGCCAGCCGCCUAAGGUGGGACAGAUGAUUGGGGUGAAGUCGUAACAAGGUAGCCGUAUCGGAAGGUGCGGUUGG
This 284-nucleotide ribosomal RNA is filed under the name Bacillus sp. sm2(2011). RNAcentral describes it as "partial 16S ribosomal RNA". It matches the Rfam family "Bacterial small subunit ribosomal RNA", at positions 1238 to 1521 of the family's 1533-position model. Lineage: Bacteria; Bacillati; Bacillota; Bacilli; Caryophanales; Bacillaceae. The record is from RNAcentral.